AGCUUCUUCACAAUGUUAAAGAGUGUCAGUGUUGCACGGAAAUAGAAGAGUGCGAACAAGCACUGAAUAGCGAACUCGUUUUGCAAGAGCUCAACACUGAGAAUCCUCCGACUUGCAUUGUCAACCAUCCUGGUUUUUAUAGCCUGUGCUUAGACAAGUGGUCACUUCGACUAGCAGCUGCAAAGUUACGUACUAAGAAAAGCAGGAGUACCGUCAAACAAGCACAGAAGAUAAAUUUUUUCGAAGUACGUCUUAUAGAAGUUUUAUGUGGUUAGUUUUUGGACAUAUGGGAAAUAAAAGGUAUCCCUUACCGGCAUGUGCAUAUGACAAAAUAAGACGGCAGUUCCAACCAGCUGACAAUGACGAUUUUGUAGGAUUUGUGGAAGAGGAAAUCUCUUGAAAAUUUUCAACUGUUGUAUUUAGGGUUUGUGGGAUUAACUUCAAAUUAUAACAAAAACUAUAUUUAUAUGUAAUAUGAUUGUUUGAUUAUGUAAUAUGAUUGUUUGAUCUUGUUA
Long non-coding RNA from Xenia sp. Carnegie-2017, 515 nucleotides. RefSeq lists it as uncharacterized. NCBI's taxonomy places the organism in Eukaryota, Metazoa, Cnidaria, Anthozoa, Malacalcyonacea, Xeniidae. The transcript is spliced from 2 exons. The record is from RefSeq and is a predicted model, not a curated record.